This 1284-nucleotide long non-coding RNA is filed under the name Marmota monax (woodchuck). Lineage: Eukaryota; Metazoa; Chordata; Mammalia; Rodentia; Sciuridae. The record is from RNAcentral.
CUAUAGGCCAGUUCAGUAUUUUUGCCUUCCAGCGUUCCAUUUAAGACUACCAAUAAACUAUGGGAAGGCAUUGUCUGUGUGUUGUAGGUCAAUCUGGACAAUUUAUGCCUCAAUUUAGUUUUCAUGAUUGGGUGGAUACAUAUUUUAGUAUUUAUUUUUUAGUUUUUUGGUUUUCAGAGAGCAUUUAUUAUGGAGAGCAAGAAAUGAGACUCUUUAGAGUAAAUGUUUUUUCAAGUUUCCUGUAUUUUUGUAAAGCAAAUAGGUAACUUCUAUAAGAAGCAAAGCUAAAUUUGUUAAGUUCUUUGUAAAGGACAUCAGAGCCCUCCUCUACCUGGCAGGGGCAUUUCACAGCUUAGCCAAUUGUUUGCAAUGUGCUCUGACGCCCCAGAUGAAAGGAGCCACUUUCCCGGCCAGCAUUAUUGCCAGUGUGUCUUCAGCUGCCAAGGAGAAGCUGAUUCAGAAUCUGCCUCCAACAUCCAAGACCCGCCUGUGCUUUGUAAGUGGAGCAUCAGUGCUUGUUCAAUUAUUUGGAUAUUGUUCAGCUUGCCUGUGAUCUAAUGAGGUUUAUGUUUAAGAGUGGUGCAUUGGCAAAAGUCGUCUUUUAAAAAGCGCCCCAAAUAGUGUUACAAUCGUCAAUCAGAGGAAGAAUCCGCGGACAAACUAGUGAUUUCCUCAACUUCCUUUUGCUUCGCUUUUUUUGUUUUCUGGAAGAUCAAAUUCAAAUAGCGUUUAUGCUUUCUUUCACUGAAUUAACAAUGGCCGGGAGAAGGUAUUUCAAUCCCCCUAAAGAAAGCUUUUCUAUGAUGACAAACCCGUGCACGUUUAGGGGCUCAUCUGGUGCUUGGCGGAUUUGGGCCGUCAAUCAGAUGUGUAAGUACUGGCUGGUUCCUGUGCUGUGCUGCCGCUGGAGUUGUAUUUAUGGCAAAGGCUAAGGUCACUAUCAAAAGAAACACGGGCUCACUGUCUCUGAGCUCCUCCUCUGAGCAGAAGAAUGUUAAACUAGACAUCUGUCUGCGAAAACAAUCAACUCAACAUGUGCACACUCUCAAAGGAGGAUCUUGUCCUGCCUGUCUCUCAACUUUUGGAAAAUGCUUUUUUCUAAAUGAGCUUUAGAAAUGCAGUCACAAGCCAAACUCUUCACCUUGUGGAGAUUUCUAUAUUCACAUAGAAAACACACUUUUGAAAUGCCACACGUCAUUUAUUAAAAGAAUCCUUCCACAGUAGCAGUAAUUUGUUAAUAAUUACUUAAUGUAAUAUGACUAUAUGAUACUUAUUUUAUUAGAG